AUAUUCACCUGGCAGGGGAGAUACUAUGAUCACAAAAGUUGAUUUUGCAGGGCAAGGCUUAUCCAUUGCUCUCCAGAUGCGCUGAUCCUUACAAUUUCUCUAAAUGUCAUAGAUUCUACUGUGUAAUUUGUGCAGUAGUGGGGUCUGUGUUCCUGCUCCCCCUGU
Molecule: small nuclear RNA, 165 nt
Filed under: Dasypus novemcinctus (nine-banded armadillo)
Lineage: Eukaryota; Metazoa; Chordata; Mammalia; Cingulata; Dasypodidae
Description: U1 spliceosomal RNA (ENSDNOG00000049254.1)
Rfam family: U1 spliceosomal RNA
About the family: U1 is a small nuclear RNA (snRNA) component of the spliceosome (involved in pre-mRNA splicing). Its 5' end forms complementary base pairs with the 5' splice junction, thus defining the 5' donor site of an intron.
Source: RNAcentral